CCUCCGGAUUAAGCGGUAGGGGAAAGUGGAGAGUUUUAGUUUCUUUGUGCAUUUGGUUAACAGGGCAUUCAGGUGCUGAGUCCAUCCAAACCAAAGGGACGUACGUUAGUUACAUUGGUGGCAACUGGCAAGUGAAGGGAAAAAAGUCAUAAAAAGAUUGGUCAAUUUCGACAUUGGAUGUAUUAAAAAAUAGGAAGAAAGCA
Molecule: long non-coding RNA, 203 nt
Filed under: Elaeis guineensis (African oil palm)
Lineage: Eukaryota; Viridiplantae; Streptophyta; Magnoliopsida; Arecales; Arecaceae
Description: long non-coding RNA (EGUI_LNC003445)
Source: RNAcentral